This 253-nucleotide ribosomal RNA is filed under the name uncultured prokaryote. Its description in RNAcentral is "partial 16S ribosomal RNA". It matches the Rfam family "Bacterial small subunit ribosomal RNA", at positions 525 to 777 of the family's 1533-position model. The record is from RNAcentral.
ACGUAGGUGGCAAGCGUUGUCCGGAUUUACUGGGCGUAAAGCGUAUGCAGGCGGGAUCUUAAGUAGGAAGUGAAAGGUUGGAGCUCAACUCUAACACUGCUCCCUAUACUGGGGUUCUUGAGUGCCGGAGAGGAAGACGGAACGACACGUGUAGCGGUGAAAUGCGUUGAGAUGUGUCGGAACACCAAUGGCGAAAGCAGUCUUCUGGACGGAUACUGACGCUGAGAUACGAAAGCCAAGGUAGCAAACAGGA